UGGGGAAUAUUGGACAAUGGGCGCAAGCCUGAUCCAGCCAUGCCGCGUGAGUGACGAAGGCCUUAGGGUUGUAAAGCUCUUUUGGCGGUGACGAUAAUGACGGUACCCGCAGAAUAAGCCCCGGCUAACUUCGUGCCAGCAGCCGCGGUAAUACGAAGGGGGCUAGCGUUGUUCGGAAUUACUGGGCGUAAAGUGUGCGCAGGCGGCUUCGCAAGUCGAGUGUGAAAUCCCCGGGCUUAACUUGGGAACGGCGCUCGAAACUACGGAGCUAGAGUAUGGCAGAGGGAGGUGGAAUUCCACGUGUAGCGGUGAAAUGCGUAGAGAUGUGGAGGAACACCAAUGGCGAAGGCAGCCUCCUGGGCCAAUACUGACGCUCAUGCACGAAAGCGUGGGGAGCAAACAGGAUUAGAUACCCAUGUAGUCCCUGAGCGGGCUGGCAAGGCGCAU
This 447-nucleotide ribosomal RNA is filed under the name uncultured bacterium. Its description in RNAcentral is "bacterial SSU rRNA". It matches the Rfam family "Bacterial small subunit ribosomal RNA", at positions 355 to 825 of the family's 1533-position model. The record is from RNAcentral.